AGAGUUUGAUCCUGGCUCAGGAUGAACGCUAGCGGCAGGCCUAACACAUGCAAGUCGAGGGGUAGGUGGUGCUUGCACCACUGAGACCGGCGCACGGGUGCGUAACGCGUAUGCAACCUGCCCUCUACAGGGGAAUAGCCCAGGGAAACUUGGAUUAAUGCCCCAUGGCACCGUUUUUCCGAUUGGAUUUUCGGUUAAAGCUACGGCGGUAGGGGAUGGGCAUGCGUCCCAUUAGCUUGUUGGUGCGGUAACGGCGCACCAAGGCGACGAUGGGUAGGGGCCCUGAGAGGGGGAUCCCCCACACUGGUACUGAGACACGGACCAGACUCCUACGGGAGGCAGCAGUGAGGAAUAUUGGACAAUGGGCGGAAGCCUGAUCCAGCCAUGCCGCGUGCAGGAAGACUGCCCUAUGGGUUGUAAACUGCUUUUGUACGGGAAGAAACCUCCCCUCGUGAGGGGAGCUGACGGUGCCGUAAGAAUAAGCAUCGGCUAACUCCGUGCCAGCAGCCGCGGUAAUACGGAGGAUGCAAGCGUUAUCCGGAAUCAUUGGGUUUAAAGGGUCCGUAGGCGGGCAAUUAAGUCAGGGGUGAAAGUCUGCGGCUCAACCGUAGGACUGCCCUUGAUACUGGUUGUCUUGAAUGGUUGUGAAGCGGUUAGAAUGAGCAGUGUAGCGGUGAAAUGCAUAGAUAUUGCUCAGAAUACCGAUUGCGAAGGCAGAUCGCUAACAACGCAUUGACGCUGAGGGACGAAAGCGUGGGGAGCGAACAGGAUUAGAUACCCUGGUAGUCCACGCCGUAAACGAUGGAUACUAGCUGUCCGGCCUUCGGGCUGGGUGGCCAAGCGAAAGUGAUAAGUAUCCCACCUGGGGAGUACGUUCGCAAGAAUGAAACUCAAAGGAAUUGACGGGGGCCCGCACAAGCGGUGGAGCAUGUGGUUUAAUUCGAUGAUACGCGAGGAACCUUACCAGGGCUUAAAUGCAGUCCGACAGGGGUGGAAACACCCUUUUCUUCGGACGGAUUGCAAGGUGCUGCAUGGUUGUCGUCAGCUCGUGCCGUGAGGUGUCAGGUUAAGUCCUAUAACGAGCGCAACCCUUGCCGUUAGUUGCCAGCAUGUAAAGAUGGGAACUCUAACGGGACUGCCGGUGCAAACCGCGAGGAAGGUGGGGAUGACGUCAAAUCAUCACGGCCCUUACGUCCUGGGCCACACACGUGCUACAAUGGCCGGUACAGAGGGCAGCCACGCCGCAAGGCGGAGCGAAUCCUUAAAACCGGUCUCAGUUCGGAUCGGGGUCUGCAACUCGACCCCGUGAAGCUGGAAUCGCUAGUAGUCGGAUAUCAGCCAUGAUCCGGUGAAUGCGUUCCCGGGCCUUGUACACACCGCCCGUCAAGCCAUGGAAGCCGAGGGUACCUGAAGUCGGUGACCGCAGGGAGCUGCCUAGGGUAAAACCGGUAACUGGGGCUAAGUCGUAACAAGGUAACCA
This 1480-nucleotide ribosomal RNA is filed under the name uncultured bacterium. RNAcentral's name for it is "bacterial SSU rRNA". It matches the Rfam family "Bacterial small subunit ribosomal RNA". The record is from RNAcentral.